This 370-nucleotide ribosomal RNA is filed under the name uncultured organism. Its description in RNAcentral is "bacterial SSU rRNA". It matches the Rfam family "Bacterial small subunit ribosomal RNA", at positions 526 to 896 of the family's 1533-position model. The record is from RNAcentral.
CGUAGGGUGCGAGCGUUAAUCGGAAUUACUGGGCGUAAAGCGUGCGCAGGCGGUUUUGUAAGACAGAUGUGAAAUCCCCGGGCUCAACCUGGGACCUGUAUUUGUGACUGCAAGGCUAGAGUACGGUAGAGGGGGAUGGAAUUCCGCGUGUAGCAGUGAAAUGCGUAGAUAUGCGGAGGAACACCGAUGGCGAAGGCAAUCCCCUGGACCUGUACUGACGCUCAUGCACGAAAGCGUGGGGAGCAAACAGGAUUAGAUACCCUGGUAGUCCACGCCCUAAACGAUGUCAACUGGUUGUUGGGUCUUUACUGACUCAGUAACGAAGCCAACGCGUGAAGUUGACCGCCUGGGGAGUACGGCCGCAAGGUUG